RNAcentral lists this ribosomal RNA (853 nucleotides) under Staphylococcus pseudintermedius. RNAcentral's name for it is "partial 23S ribosomal RNA". It matches the Rfam family "Bacterial large subunit ribosomal RNA", at positions 1565 to 2419 of the family's 2925-position model. The record is from RNAcentral. Lineage: Bacteria; Bacillati; Bacillota; Bacilli; Caryophanales; Staphylococcaceae.
AUGGGGAGAGGAACUUGUUCCUCGAGUCGUUGAUUUCACACUGCCGAGAAAAGCCUCUAGCUAGAAUAACGGUGCCCGUACCGCAAACCGACACAGGUAGUCAAGAUGAGAAUUCUAAGGUGAGCGAGCGAACUCUCGUUAAGGAACUCGGCAAAAUGACCCCGUAACUUCGGGAGAAGGGGUGCUCUUUGAGGUUCACGCUUCGAAGAGCCGCAGUGAAUAGGCCCAAGCGACUGUUUAUCAAAAACACAGGUCUCUGCUAAACCGUAAGGUGACGUAUAGGGGCUGACGCCUGCCCGGUGCUGGAAGGUUAAGAGGAGUGGUUAGCGCAAGCGAAGCUACGAAUCGAAGCCCCAGUAAACGGCGGCCGUAACUAUAACGGUCCUAAGGUAGCGAAAUUCCUUGUCGGGUAAGUUCCGACCCGCACGAAAGGCGUAACGAUUUGGGCACUGUCUCAACGAGAGACUCGGUGAAAUCAUAGUACCGGUGAAGAUGCCGGUUACCCGCGACAGGACGGAAAGACCCCGUGGAGCUUUACUGUAGCCUGAUAUUGAAAUUCGGUACAGUUUGUACAGGAUAGGUAGGAGCCUUAGAAGCGUGAGCGCUAGCUUACGUGGAGGCAUUGGUGGGAUACUACCCUAAUUGUAUUGGAUUUCUAACCCGCAGCACUUAUCGUGCUGGGAGACAGUGUCAGGCGGGCAGUUUGACUGGGGCGGUCGCCUCCUAAAGAGUAACGGAGGCGCUCAAAGGUUCCCUCAGAAUGGUUGGAAAUCAUUCAUAGAGUGUAAAGGCAUAAGGGAGCUUGACUGCGAGACCUACAAGUCGAGCAGGGUCGAAAGACGGACUUAGUGAU